CUCAACUAACUUGUAUAGGAGUCUAUUUUACAUAUAUACACAAUUAUUAAUGUGUCCUAACUAAUUGACUAAUGGACUAUUCUAGAAGUGUACAUGUUAAAUAACAUAUUGUAUAAGUACCCUCAACUGGGCUCUAUAUCUCUGCAAAUAUCAAUACAUUACCCGAGCGAACGGAUGGCGUACAACUCCCUAUGCUCUACAUAGAUCUGCCCUUGGCUGCCGAUGCUCUUUCCUGUCUUUUUAGCUCUACGUUUUCUCGCUAUCUGUCUUUCUACCUG
This 278-nucleotide long non-coding RNA is filed under the name Nicotiana benthamiana. RNAcentral's name for it is "long non-coding RNA (NBEN_LNC011097)". Lineage: Eukaryota; Viridiplantae; Streptophyta; Magnoliopsida; Solanales; Solanaceae. The record is from RNAcentral.